This is a non-coding RNA of Cordylochernes scorpioides, 74 nucleotides long. The record is from the annotation of a GenBank genome assembly. NCBI's taxonomy places the organism in Eukaryota, Metazoa, Arthropoda, Arachnida, Pseudoscorpiones, Chernetidae.
AUUCAAGGGAUAGGAAUCGAACCCACGACCUUCCGCUUACCGGGCAGAUGCCAUGACCACUAGGCUACCCUGGA